CCGCGUGAGCGAAGAAGGCCUUCGGGUCGUAAAGCUCUGUUGUUAGGGAAGAACAAGUAUCGGAGUAACUGCCGGUACCUUGACGGUACCUAACCAGAAAGCCACGGCUAACUACGUGCCAGCAGCCGCGGUAAUACGUAGGUGGCAAGCGUUGUCCGGAAUUAUUGGGCGUAGAGCGCGCGCAGGCGGUCCUUUAAGUCUGAUGUGAAAGCCCACGGCUCAACCGUGGAGGGUCAUUGGAAACUGGGGGACUUGAGUGCAGAAGAGGAGAGUGGAAUUCCACGUGUAGCGGUGAAAUGCGUAGAGAUGUGGAGGAACACCAGUGGCGAAGGCGACUCUCUGGUCUGUAACUGACGCUGAGGCGCGAAAGCGUGGGGAGCAAACAGGAUUAGAUACCCUGGUAGUCCACGCCGUAAACGAUGAGUGCUAAGUGUUAGAGGGUUUCCGCCCUUUAGUGCUGCAGCUAACGCAUUAAGCACUCCGCCUGGGGAGUACGGCCGCAAGGCUG
This 508-nucleotide ribosomal RNA is filed under the name uncultured Bacillota bacterium. RNAcentral describes it as "bacterial SSU rRNA". It matches the Rfam family "Bacterial small subunit ribosomal RNA", at positions 397 to 896 of the family's 1533-position model. Lineage: Bacteria; Bacillati; Bacillota. The record is from RNAcentral.